CGCGGGGAAACAAAAAACCCCCAUGUGGACCGGGAGCACACUACUCCUACAACCCAGAGUUACAACUCCAAGCAACAGAAUUUCUGACCAAUAAGAUCCGGCACCUAGCCGAUCAACGGACCGAGUUACCCUAGGGAUAACAGCGCAAUCCUCUUUUAGAGCCCAUAUCGACAAGAGGGUUUACGACCUCGAUGUUGGAUCAGGACAUCCUAAUGGUGCAGCCGCUAUUAAG
Molecule: ribosomal RNA, 232 nt
Filed under: Oreochromis niloticus (Nile tilapia)
Lineage: Eukaryota; Metazoa; Chordata; Actinopteri; Cichliformes; Cichlidae
Description: partial large subunit ribosomal RNA
Rfam family: Bacterial large subunit ribosomal RNA
Source: RNAcentral